CCGGAGAGGACAAACAUGUAGCGUAUCAAAAGUCAUUGAAUAAGUGACUAGCUUCUGAUAAGGAAGGAGUCAUGCCCGGAUCCUGUUUACUUGUUUUCCCGUGGCAGGCCGUGUCGCCGACCAGCUACUUUUUGCCCAGAUUUCUCACUGGCCACAGCUGGGCGCACUGCUACCGGAGAACAGGUUUAGGAACAAUAAGACCCUGAUCCAAAUGUGCCCUGUUCUACAUCUUGUAUGACAACCUUCCUCAUCUGAAUUGUCUCCGUCUUUGUCCGAGGCAUGACUAAGGUUUCAAUAUUUCAGUUUUCUAACUGUUGCUGACAUGCCCACAGGACUAGGCUGGCAUGAUUUAAUGUACAAAAGAAUCCCAAUGAGCCUCAAUGCGCUGUUAGCUUUACAGGUGAACUUAAUUUGACCGUGACCUUUUGAAUCCCCGUGUUCAACUGUAUGUUUCACUACUUUUUGUACAAAUGGCUAUAAACUCAAGACAAAGGGUUGAUUUAUGAAAACAAGCAAGGGUGUCCACUUCUAUUCCUAUCAGUGACCCUUCCAGUCUCUCUCUCUCUCUCUCUCUCUUUCUCUCACAAGCUGCUAAUGACGCUAUGAGCUCAGUGGCCACGUCGUGUUUCAAAUGUUGCGAUGUUGAAGUCCUAUCGAUCAGUUAUUUGGCGUCGUCUUGGCCUCAUGAUUGAAAAUGUGAACAGCAUGAAGAAGACGGCUUAAAAACCAGGACGUUUUUUGGGGGUUAUUUGUGAAUCUUGUUUUAGAUGAACACCAAGGGCUACUAUGUUACUGUAUUUGUUUGUCAUUACAUUGGUACUUGGAGAGCAAAGUCUUUUUUGAGGUGGUGUUUAGUGUAAAAAGUUUGAGAAGCACUACUGUAAUUCAUCUAAAGGUGUAACAGUCACAAAAAAGGGAAAGAAGGCCUGUUGCUAUGUUCUUUCCCCCUACAUUUGAGUUGAUUUCUUGCAACCAUUUGUUUUGCUUUGCAAUGUUCAGUCUGGUUGUUGUAAUCUGAUUGUGUUGUGCCUUGUGAACUUUCCCCUAGAAAACUCUUAGACCACGCCCCCUCCUUCCUCUCUGGCUGUGUUGGGAGGCAGGAGAUUCACGUUCGACCUCUCUGACACCGGACUGUUUUUAUUUGGAUCAGAUCGGGGGAUUUUUUUUUGUGUCAGAAUCGUCUCCUCAGAAUAGGUCAGUUUGUGGGGGAGAAUGACGGGAACACAACGCACCUGGACUUUUACACGGAAUUGGUCACAGCGGGAGGCUACCAUGCCUUCCCAGACAGAGACACUCCACCCUAAAUGAGAGCAGACUUGUCCAAUGUGCUUUAUCAGCUGCCACGAUGUUCUUUUUUUUCCAAGAAAUUUCUGAGGUUGGGGUUUGAAAUAUUUGCUCUGGCUUUGCUGUGUACAUUUUGCAUCUGUUCGUGGGUUUGCUUUUAUUGCCCUGGCGUUCUCCCACAUUCCGAAAGCGUCCAUGAAGAAUAUAGGUUACGUGGAGACUCUAUAACGGCGGCUCGCAACUGUUGUCAACCUUGGGCCGGCACGUUGCUAUUUUUGAUUAUUUGUGACCCACUUUCACAGAAGUGAAGAACAAUAAAGCAAAUGUAUGGUUCCAAAAUAACGUCUGGAAAUAAAUAUACAGUUUCUGUGGCA
Long non-coding RNA from Hippocampus zosterae (dwarf seahorse), 1658 nucleotides. RefSeq lists it as uncharacterized. NCBI's taxonomy places the organism in Eukaryota, Metazoa, Chordata, Actinopteri, Syngnathiformes, Syngnathidae. The transcript has 2 exons. The record is from RefSeq and is a predicted model, not a curated record.